GACGAACGCUGGCGGCGUGCCUAACACAUGCAAGUCGAACGGAGAAUUAGCAAUAAUUCUUAGUGGCGAACGGGUGAGUAACGCGUAGACAACCUACCCUUUAGAUGGGGACAACACCGCGAAAGUGGUGCUAAUACCGAAUAUUGCUUGAGAAGCGCAUGCUUUUCAAACUAAAGAUGGCCUCUAUUUAUAAGCUAUCGCUAAAGAAUGGGUCUGCGUCUGAUUAGCUAGUUGGUGAUAUAAAAGCUCACCAAGGCAACGAUCAGUAGCCGGUCUGAGAGGAUGAACGGCCACACUGGGACUGAGACACGGCCCAGACUCCUACGGGAGGCAGCAGUGGGGAAUCUGCCGCAAUGGACGAAAGUCUGACGGAGCAACGCCGCGUGAGUGAUGAAGGUUUUCGGAUCGUAAAACUCUGUUGUUAAGGACGAAUGUAUAGAUUGUGAAUAAUGGUUUAUAAUGACGGUACUUAACGAGGAAGCCACGGCUAACUACGUGCCAGCCGCCGCGGUAA
RNAcentral lists this ribosomal RNA (514 nucleotides) under uncultured bacterium. RNAcentral's name for it is "partial 16S ribosomal RNA". It matches the Rfam family "Bacterial small subunit ribosomal RNA", at positions 28 to 523 of the family's 1533-position model. The record is from RNAcentral.